Small nucleolar RNA from Pteronotus mesoamericanus, 133 nucleotides. RefSeq annotates it as small nucleolar RNA SNORA71. Lineage: Eukaryota; Metazoa; Chordata; Mammalia; Chiroptera; Mormoopidae. The record is from RefSeq and is a predicted model, not a curated record. The transcript has a single exon.
UCCUAAAUCCAAAAGUGAUCAUGGGCUGCCUGUGCCUUGGCCAUUGAUAGUGCAGGGAGAGAAUUGCUGAAAGGCGUUGUCCCCAUGUUUGAAGGGCCCAGUUGUCCCUUCCAAACCCUGGAGCUGUCACACA